RNAcentral lists this ribosomal RNA (253 nucleotides) under uncultured bacterium. Its description in RNAcentral is "partial 16S ribosomal RNA". It matches the Rfam family "Bacterial small subunit ribosomal RNA", at positions 524 to 776 of the family's 1533-position model. The record is from RNAcentral.
UACGUAGGGAGCAAGCGUUGUCCGGAAUCAUUGGGCGUAAAGCGCGCGUAGGCGGCCCUGUAAGUCCGUUGUGAAAGUCAAAGGCUCAACCUUUGAAAGCCGAUGGAUACUGCAGGGCUAGAGUCCGGAAGAGGCGAGUGGAAUUCCUGGUGUAGCGGUGGAAUGCGCAGAUAUCAGGAGGAACACCGGUGGCGAAGGCGGAUCUCUGGGCCUUGCCUGACGCUGAGGCGCGAAAGCUAGGGGAGCGAACAGG